RNAcentral lists this ribosomal RNA (582 nucleotides) under uncultured bacterium. Its description in RNAcentral is "bacterial SSU rRNA". It matches the Rfam family "Bacterial small subunit ribosomal RNA", at positions 102 to 694 of the family's 1533-position model. The record is from RNAcentral.
ACGGCGUAGUAAUGCAUCGGAACGUACCCUCUGGUCGGGGAUAGCUACGGGAAACUGUAGGUAAUACCCGAUGAUCUCUGCGGAGCAAAGGUGAGAUUCCGCCGGAGGAGCGGCUGAUGUGAUAUUAGCUAGUUGGUGGGGUAAUGGCCUACCAAGGCGAUGAUGUCUAGGGGGUGUGAGAGCAUGGCCCCCACGACCGGAACUGAGAUACUGUCCGGACACCUACGGGUGGCUGCAGUCGAGAAUCUUCCGCAAUGGACGAAAGUCUGACGGAGCGACGCCGCGUGCGGGAUGAAGGCCCUUGGGUUGUAAACCGCUGUCAGAGGGGAUGAAAUCUUCGGAGGUACUCCUCCGAAGUUGACAGAGCCUCAAAGGAAGCACGGGCUAAGUACGUGCCAGCAGCCGCGGUAACACGUACUGUGCGAACGUUAUUCGGAAUCACUGGGCUUAAAGGGUGCGUAGGCGGCGAAUCAAGUCAGGUGUGAAAGGCCUGAGCUCAACUGAGGCAUUGCGCUUGAAACUGAUUUGCUUGAGUAUCCCAGGGGUGUGCGGAACUGCCAGUGGAGCGGUGAAAUGUGUUGA